CGUCGGUUUCGCGGCACGGGCUGGAGCUGCUAUUGGGCGCGCGAUCUGCGCUUGAACAGAGGAAGGAAAAGCCCGCGAAAGGCGCCGAUUAACGGCCGGCGGUGGCGGCAAGGCGAUGAGCGAGCAGGAGGCGCUGCCCAGGCUGGCAUUGCCAAAACAGCCCUACAGAAGUAGAUUCUACAGAGACAAUGCAUUUGGAAGGCUGACAGGAAAACCAAUGAACGUCAUCUCGCAGAAAAAUGCAAACGCAUCAACUAUUGUUAAUAACUUCCUGGCUGGACUAGGUGAAUUUAAAUACUCAGAUUAAAUGCAAUAGAUUAAACUAUAUGAAUGGUACCACUGAAUGGUUGAACAAAACUGAUUUUUCAAUGAAAAGUAUGAUUUCAGCUGCAUCUGACAGAUCAGGAAGGAAAAUUAAGUGAAAGUUA
Molecule: long non-coding RNA, 428 nt
Organism: Pristis pectinata (smalltooth sawfish)
Lineage: Eukaryota; Metazoa; Chordata; Chondrichthyes; Rhinopristiformes; Pristidae
Exons: 3
Source: RefSeq, a predicted model, not a curated record